ACUCAAAUGAAUUGACGGGGGCCCGCACAAGCGGUGGAGCAUGUGGUUCAAUUCGACGCAACGCGAAGAACCUUACCUGGGCUCGAAAUGUAGUGGACCGGGGUUGAAAGAUCCCUUUCUCGCAAGAGACUGCUAUAUAGGUGCUGCAUGGCUGUCGUCAGCUCGUGUCGUGAGAUGUUGGGUUAAGUCCCGCAACGAGCGCAACCCUUAUUGCCAGUUGCUAACGCGUUAUGGCGAGCACUCUGGCGAAACUGCCCCGGAUAACGGGGAGGAAGGUGGGGAUGACGUCAAGUCCUCAUGGCCUUUAUGUCCAGGGCUACACACGUGCUACAAUGGGUGGUACAAACCGUCGCAAACCUGUGAAGGGGAGCUAAUCGGAAAAAGCCAUCCUCAGUCCGGAUUGGAGUCUGCAACUCGACUCCAUGAAGCUGGAAUCGCUAGUAAUCGCGGAUCAGAACGCCGCGGUGAAUACGUUCCCGGGCCUUGCACACACCGCCCGU
RNAcentral lists this ribosomal RNA (500 nucleotides) under uncultured bacterium. RNAcentral's name for it is "partial 16S ribosomal RNA". It matches the Rfam family "Bacterial small subunit ribosomal RNA", at positions 899 to 1397 of the family's 1533-position model. The record is from RNAcentral.